RNAcentral lists this long non-coding RNA (8075 nucleotides) under Triticum aestivum (bread wheat). RNAcentral describes it as "long non-coding RNA (TAES_LNC005180)". Lineage: Eukaryota; Viridiplantae; Streptophyta; Magnoliopsida; Poales; Poaceae. The record is from RNAcentral.
AGUCCGUGCAGAUGACGCAACCAAGCUCAGGAGGAGCUCGAUGAAGAUCUUGCCCUUUGUUUUCGUUCUAGUUGAUCAGUAGUGGAGCCCAGUUGGGGUCGAUCGGGGACCUUUGUCGCAUUUGGGGUUCUUCUUUUAUUUUGGUUCCGUAGUCGGACCCUGUUUGUAUUUGGUUUAUGUAAUGCUUUAUUCAUGUAAUUGUGUGAACUGGCGAUUGUAAGCCAACUAUGUAUCUCUUUCCUUUAUAUAUUACAUGGGUUGUGUGAAGAUUACCUCACUUACGACAUAUGCCUUCAAUGCGAUUAUGCCUCUAAGUCGUGCCUCGACACGUGGGAGAUAUAGUCGCAUCGAGGGUGUUACAAGUUGGUAUCAGAGCCUUCCCCGACCUUAGGAGCCCCAUUGCUUGAUCGUUUUUAGCAGCCGAGUUGUGUCUAGAAAAAUAUUUUGAGUCAUUUAGGAAUUAUAUAUCGGAAAGUUUAGGAAUUCUUUUUACUUCCCAGUCUCCUCAUCGCUCUGGUAAGGCAUCCUGACGUAGAGUUUUGACUCUUCUCUUCUCAAAUUUCACAAAAAAAAUUUAGGAUCACGCGGGUAUCUCGGAAUCGUUCCGAUGGUUUUAUGAUGAGAACUUUGUCUUGGUGCCUCCUGUCAGGGGUUUUGUGGAAGUGUCCCGGGGAGUUGAGCUCUGAGGUGUUGUCAUCAUAAUUUUAUCGUUGCAGUUCUGGAAUACCUGAGUUUAGUACGCCGACAUCGAAAAUCUCUUUUAUGCAGUUCGUUGGUGAGAUAACCUCGACGCCACCCAGUACUGGGGCGGGAGUUCGGGAGUAUUGCCAUAACUUGUAUAACAGAUGCUUUUCGAAGGUUGAGGUAGACAAUUUCCGAAGGUUUCUUGGUUAUGUGUUGAAGGAUGGAUACAGCUGGAUGUAGGAUUUGCUAGUUUGGGUGAGAUAUUAUGCUUCCCCUGUAUCCCCAACACCUGAUUGCAUAACCGGAAAAUUUCGGGAGUUUCAUAGGUGGGAAUUCAAGUAGCUCCUAGGAUUUCUUUCCGACAGAUGUAUGAUACGAAAUUGGGGUUCGACGUCUAGUGGUCCGCCUAUUCACGGUCGGUUUUAUAGUGGUCUCGUUGUGUCUUAAAGAGUCCUUGGCUAUGCCGACUCGGGGACGCUUCGUAUGUCAUGUGCACUGCCUUGUACAUGAUGGUGCUGUACGAUCGAGCCCGUGUAGGCCCCACCACGAAAACUUCAGACGAAAUCUCUAUCAUAUGUUUGUUCUGGCUUAUUUUACAAGCCAAUCCUUGUUUUGUUUUGAGAUGUGGUAUUCGAGUUGCUUCGAAGUUAAAUGUUGAUUCCAUACCUUUCCCAAAUGGUGUUCUCAUACUCCGGUGUGGAUACCAAUCCUUCUUGAUCAUCAAGAUUGUUUUUGUCAAUCCUUUUAACCGGUGUGCUUCUCUUCAAGUGGAUUCAAUCACUUCAAUAUUCGCAAGAGCAAUUAUCAGUUCUUCUCAAUAUUGCUUGUUUCAUCCGGCUCCAAGUUACCUUUGUUUUUCCCGCCCACCCACCCUUGUUUUUUCUUCAAGGACUCAGAUUUCUUCAUCAAGUAUCCAUUUUAUUCUUGUGAAGUCUCUUCAUUCUUUUCUUUCAAUGUUCGUAUCUGGUGAUUCUCAUGAAGAUUCUAACGAAGCUUCAAGUUCGUCACUCUUCACUCAUUUUCUUCUCCGGUGGAAUUAAUUCAAGCUUUGGUAUUGAGCAUACUCCUUUUCUUUUUGCCCAAUGCCUAUUUAUGCCGGUGCACCUCUUAAUCUUCCACUUCUCGCUAUUCAAUUAUUCUGGAGUGCUCAAGAUAUCUCGAAGAUUCGUGUUUCCACUCUACAUUCGUUCAAACUCUUUCGAGGAUGUUAUUUCAUUCUAGCCAUUUAAUUCAACUGGUGCAUUCCCUCUUUUAAAUCGUUCUACGAUGUUUCUUUUGAGUGGGCCCUGACCCACAGGUCUUUUCCCAGGAUCUUACCUGACUCUUCUAAUUCUCCCGGAGAUAUCCUUAAAAUUCUUUUCAAAGUUUGACGUAAGAAUGAAUUGCCAUCAGUCAAAUGUCCUCCUCUAAAAUCUUUCAAAUUCUUUUCAUCGUUGGCUCAACCUUUCCAUUAUUCAUUCCGGAGUGCCUCAACAAUUCACGGUGGUGUCUCUCGUUGUCAUUUGAAGACCGAAGAAGAGUUUCUCUUUAAUCUUGCUCCAUUCUCUUCAAGAUUCGUGAUUCUAGCUUGUUGCCAUCCUCUCAUAAUUAUUUGCGAUUGUGAGAUAUUCUUUUCAACCAUCCAGAGUAAUUCAGGAGCCUUUUCAGUUCGAUUCUCCGGAGCCCAUCAUCUCAUAAUUAUUCUUUCCCAGCUUUCAGUUACCGUUCUCCUAAUCUUACCGGUGCAUCGAUCAUUUAUCCUCUAAUCAGUUCUUGAUCUCUUCGUUCUCAUGUAUCUAGAUUCUCUCAAGCUUCGUCGUUCAUUUGCUAAUUCUUCCCGGUGUUGUCCUUAUCUUUUCCUUGGUCAUUUUAAUUCUUACGGUGGUUCGUGCAAGAUUCCUCUUCUUUCGUUAUCAUAUCAAUUCAUUCGCUGUUUCGAUUCCACCGGUGGAUCGUUGAAGACUUUCCCAAGUUUGCGCCAUAUCUAUCCUAAUCUCUCUACGAGAAUAAGUGGUAUGCCAAAUCCGUUGCUUGUCAUCAAUUUAAAUUGGUGAAGGAUACACAUAACAUAAUUCUUACUCUUGUUUCAUCCUUAUGUUAAUCUUUUCUUCCGGAGUUUGUUCACGAUGAUUAAAUUCUUGGGUUCAAGUGCUCAUCCUUCUUUCCCGGAGUUCCAAGCUCUAAUUAUCACGGAGAUCCAUCUAAAUCAUUACAAGGUUUCACCUUGUGUUUUCAACUUCUCUUUCUUUUCGGUAUCUUUUGUUUACCGGAGUUCUUCACGGAAGUUCUACAUGAUGGUUCAUAUAUGAUUUAAUUCAUUCUCGAAGUGCUCAUCGAGAUUCUUUUCUAAGAAGCUCAAGCUUUCUUCAUAUUGUAAUCUGGAGUGCAAUUUCUUUCUACCAUAUUAUCGGAGGUGGUAUUAUGUCAUUCUUGAUCAUUUGAGUUCAUGUUUUUCAUGAUUCACAUGGUGUCAAGAAUGAGAUAUUUUAAAUCCAUCAAUCUCUUCUUUGAGUUAUCUUGGGUUUAUUUUCACCUAAAACUUUCCCUAAGGUUUGUUGCUAUUAUGGUGCUUAUAAAUGACCCAAGUUCUUCUUUUAUCCUCUCGGUGAAAUAAGUUUCUCGUCUCCUUGUCAUAUAAAUCCAAUCAAUUCUUUUCCCGUGAGUGGCAGGCUGUCACCUCAUAAUUUGAGAUGUUUUCCAUAAGACCAUAUCAAGUUUAUUCUUUUCGUUGUGGAUUGUUUCAACAACUCCGUGUGACCCUUCUCUUUAAGAUGCUUUUCAAGCUCAUUGGAGGUAGAAGAUGUUGUUUUCUUCUCCGUUCUUUUGUUCCGUCGAUACAACUUCUAUUCUUUCGUUCCGGAGGCAUCGUGUUGUUGUUCUCUUCAACCCAUCUUCUUGUUGUGUCAAGAUCAUGUUCUUUUCAUGAUUGUCCAUUUAACCGGAGUGUCGUGCCCUCUUUUCAAGUUCUAUCACCUUAUCAAGUUCUUGUUCAAUUACUUUCUUUUCAACCGGAGUGCUACCCGAAUUUGGUCUCCCUUGAUCCCCUUCCUUAACCGGAGUGUAUAUAUAUCUUCCCUUCAACCUCAAAGGUUUCUCAAUGUUCUUUGUCUCUCUUUUCUAAUGGAGUGUUUUCAACUUCGUUCAUCUCCGUUGUAUUCUUUUCUCGAAACGGCCUAACCUUUUUCAAGGUUUGUGCUUUCACUCGUUUGUCAAAGAAGCAACUUAGUUUUACCUCUUCUCUGUCUCUUUCGUUUUCUCUCCGGUGCCAUUCUAGAUCUCGGGACGAGAUCCUCUCGUAGUGGUGGAGUGUUGUAACACCCCGAGACCGAUGUGCCAGGUGUCGUUCAGUUAUUCGCUGUUGUUGCCUUGUCAUUUGCUUGCGUGUUGCAUUUCAUCAUGUCAUCAUGUGCAUUGCAUCAUCAUGUUUUCAAAACUUGCAUUCGUCCGGGUUCCCCCGUUCUUUCCGUUGUCCGUUCUGAGCCCAGAGACACUUGCACGCGCCCGCGGCAUGUCCGAAAUAUUUUUUUAUAAGUGGCCGGAAAAUGUUCUCAGAAUGGGAUGAGAGUUGACGUGUGGUCUUAUUAUAGUGUAGAUAGACCGCCUGUCAAGUUUCAUCGCAUUCGGAGAUCAUUUGAUGCCCCAAUGGAUAACAUAGCGGCAAUAGUAGCCGGUCUAACGUCGGACGUUUUCGGUCUCCAAAAACAGUCGCCGGGCCUUCUCUCUCCCUUUUUCUCAGCCUGAGGCCUUCUGCACAGUCCACUACCUUCCGCCAGGCCCAACCUAACCUCUCCCGUCAGCCCGCGGCCCUCCUCGCGCGCGCGUCCGAAAGUUGUCCCGGACCUGACCCGCUCAGUCAUCAUCGUUUGAUUCGGAUAAUCCCCAAAUAUCCCUCAAAUAUCUUUGUUUUCUUCCUUGGACUCCCCAACCUAUUUAUCUCGACCGUUUGAUUUUAAUCGGAGGGUCCGAUUAGCCCUUGUCAAAAAUCCUUGCUAUAUAUACUGCCUAACCCUAGAUCCUAGGAUGUCCCAUCCGUCCAUUCCGCCCGCCGCCGCCAGCCCACCUGGUCUCCUCCUCGGCUUCCUCACCGAGCCAACCACCAUCCAUCCCGAACCACCUCCCUCCAACCAACCUCCGACCACCUCCCUGGUUUUCCGCGUGGCCCAAAUCGCAGCAGCCAACAACAUCCUCCUACCCGAGCAAGCACGGCCAUGGCCACGCCCACCGAAGCUCUGCACCACCCCAAGCUACUCUGCCUCCGGUGUUGUCCCGCUCAUCCCGGCCUCCUCUACGCCCGGAGCUCUCCUAGCCGUGCGUCUCCUCCUCGUUCCCAGCGAAGCCCCGUCCUCCUGAGCUCUCCCGCAGGCAGCCCCGCGCCCGAUCCAGGCGGAUCGAGGCGACCACCUCGUGCACGCCGAGUCCAAUCGUCGGACCAGCUCCACCACCAGGCGACACCUCUCCUUCUCUUUUCCUUCUUCCCCUGGUGCUUCUCUCCCUCUUUAAUCUACCCGCUGUUGUUCUAAUUCUCUGUUGCCUCUGUGGUUUGCAGAGGCCGAAGCCGACGCUGCCAUGCAAGCCUUGCUCAAGCUCCACCCGCGCCGGAUCCACGUCCUUCGGUUUUCCCCAUGUAACCUUCGUCCUCUGCUUCGAACCAGGACCCGACGAGGGCCUCGCCGUACCCGUUGACCGCUCGAUCUCCUCUGCUUCGGCAUUGAUCCAGAGACGAACGCCGCGCGCCGCCUGCUGGCAUUGACCGCGCCCAGGCCCAGCUGCUUCCCCAUCGAGCGAGCGCCCGCCUCGUCCAGCCUCCCCGUUGACCGGUCGCACCUCGUGGCCCAGCUCCAGCCACUUCCGCACCGCACCAGGCCCGGAUCUGCCAGCUCUCUGAAGCCCAAUGUGAGCAGCCCAGUUGCACCAGAUUCGGCCUGUGUAGUUUUUUCCCAGAUCUGCGAAUUUAGCUUUUAUCCCAGGAUUUACUGUUUUGUAGAAAAGUCCCCCUAGUUCAUGCAUUUAAUAACUCACAAUUGGUGCAUCGGAUUAAAAUGUUUCAUAUAUGAAACUUGCUUAGAAUUUUGUCUAGAUUCAUAAUAUGCAACUUUCACCCAUGUUUAAAAUGUUUAAAAUGCUGUUUGAGUAAAUUUGCUCCUAUGCCAUGUUAAAAUGAUUUAAUUCAUAACUAAAUAACCGUAACUCCGAAUUUAAUAAACUUUGUAUGUAAAUGGGGUAGAAUUUUGCCUAGUUUAACAUGGUGGCAUAAUCUUGCAUGUUUAAUAACCAUAAAAUAUGGUUUAGGGCAGAACAGGACCAAACCUAAAAUAUGCACAUGAGGAGUUUCCGGAUUUGUUGUUCGUUGCUUCCGGCCUCAUUUAACCUUGACUAGAUAGGUAGCUUUCAUUUGCUUCACCCUCUUGCCAUGCUUAACAACAUUUAAUAUUGUUGGGUACAUAAACGGGAUCAAACUAAAUAACUUAUCGUGGUGUUUCGUCAAUAUGCAACUCGUUGCAUAUUGAGCUCCAUUUAAUUUGUUGGAUUGUUUGUGCACUUUGCCAUGCCAUGCCUCAUUAAACCGGACAUGCAUCAUACUUGUUUGCGCAUCAUGCCAUGUCUAUGUGAUGGUUGUUUACCAUGUUGUUUGCUUCUUUCCGGUGUUGCUUCUUCGGGUUGGUUCCGAUAACGUCGUGUUUGUGAGGACCCGUUCGACUAUGUUCGUUUGUCUUCUUCAUGGACUCGUUCUUCUUCCUUGCGGGAUUUCAGGCAAGAUGAUCAUACCCUCGAAAUCACUACUAUCUUUGCUAUGCUAGUUUGCUCGCUCUUUUGCUAUGCCAAUGCUACGAUGCCUACCAUUUGCUUUCAAGCCUCCCAAAUUGCCAUGUCAAACCUCUAACCCACCAUGUCCUAGCAAACCGUUGAUUGGCUAUGUUACCGCUUUGCUCAGCCCCUCUUUUAGCGUUGUUAGUUGCACGUGAAGAUUGAAGUUUGUUCCUUGUUGGAACAUGGAGAUGUUGUUCCUUGUUGGAACAUGUUUACUUGUUGGGAUAUCACAAUAUAUCUUAUUUAAUUAAUGCAUCUAUAUACUUGGUAAAGGUUGGAAGGAUCGGCCUUAUGCCCGAUGUUUUGUUCCACUCUUGCCGCCCUAGUUUCCAUCAUAUCGGUGUUAUGUUCCCGGAUUUUGCGUUCCUUAUGCGGUUGGGCUAUAAUGGGAACCCCUUGACAGUUCGCCUUAAGUAAAGCUCCUCCAGCAAUGCCCAACUUUGGUUUUACCAUUUGCACUAACAACCUACCACCUUCCCUUGGGUUCUGUAGACUCAAGGGUCAUCUUUAUUCUAACCCCCCCGGGCUAGUGCUCCUCUGAGUGUUGGUCCGACCGAGUAGACUGCGGGGCCACCUCGGGGCAACUUGAGGGUUGGUUUUACUCGUAGGAUGUCUCAUCUGAGUGUGCCCUGAGAAAGAGAUAUGUGUAGCUCCUAUCGGGAUUUGUCGGCACAUUCGGGCGGUGUUGCUGGUUUAGUUUUACCCUGUCGAAAUGUCUUGUUGUACCGGGAUACCGAGUCUGAUCGGAACGUCUUGGGUGGAGGUCUAUUCCUUCGUUGACCGUGAGAGCUUGUGAUGGGCUAAGUUGGGACACCCCUGCAGGGAUUUGAACUUUCGAAAGCCGUGCCCACGGUUAUGGGCAGAUGGGAAUUUGUUAACGUCCGGUUGUAGAAAACCUGAACUUGGCCUUAAUUAAAAUGAAUCAACCGCGUGUGUAACCGUGAUGGUCUCUUUUCGGCGGGGUCCGGGAAGUGAACACGGUUGUUGGAGUUAUGCUUGACGUAGGUUGCUAUAGGAUCACUUCUUGAUCAUACUUUUAUCGACCGUGCUUUGCCUUCUCUUCUCGUUCUCAUUUGCGUAUGUUAGCCACCAUAUAUGCUAGUCGCUUGCUGCAGCUCCACCUCAUACCUUUUACCUUACCCAUAAGGUUAAAUAGUCUUGAUUGUGAGGGUGCGAGAUUGCUGAGUCCCCGUGGCUCACAGAUACUUCCAAAACGAGCUUGCAGGUGCCGAUGAGUCCGUGCAGAUGACGCAACCAAGCUCAGGAGGAGCUCGAUGAAGAUCUUGCCCUUUGUUUUCGUUCUAGUUGAUCAAUAGUGGAGCCCAGUUGGGGUCGAUCGGGGACCUUUGUCGCAUUUGGGGUUCUUCUUUUAUUUUGGUUCCGUAGUCGGACCCUGUUUGUAUUUGGUUGAUGUAAUGCUUUAUUCAUGUAAUUGUGUGAAGUGGCGAUUGUAAGCCAACUAUGUAUCUCUUUCCUUUAUAUAUUACAUGGGUUGUGUGAAGAUUACCUCACUUGCGACAUAUGCCUUCAAUGCGAUUAUGCCUCUAAGUCGUGCCUCGACACGUGGGAGAUAUAGUCGCAUCGAGGGUGUUACACAAUAUUUG